Paramormyrops kingsleyae is the source of this 500-nucleotide non-coding RNA. NCBI's taxonomy places the organism in Eukaryota, Metazoa, Chordata, Actinopteri, Osteoglossiformes, Mormyridae. The record is from RefSeq and is a predicted model, not a curated record.
UUUUGUACCCCAUGUCUAGGGUCUUCCCUCUGUAAGGAAUGUGUUGUACAACAAUGCAGAGUGCUACGGCUCAAGAAUCAGUUGAACAAAGACUACAAAGAAGUUUCCAGCCUUAUGAAAAUACCAGUAAAAAGUAAUGAAGGAUUUUGGGUCGGAAAAGCCUCCUUGAGAUGCUGGAGACAACUGGCACUAGAACAAUUAGAAGACAGUCAAAAAGAAACGCAUCAACCUAAUGGAAAAACAAAUGGGGAAGGACCAGAAAUUUCUGCGCUCCAAGACACUGACAGCAAAGAUCAAGAAAAUGAAGAGAUGAAAACCUUUAAUGAAGAUAUUCUCUGUCUUCAUGGGGGCAUGUCCAUAUCAGUGGGUGAGAAGAAACUAAUCUCUCAUGAUGUGUGGAGCAGGCUUAAAGUGUACUUCCCCAGUGCUCCGGAGUUUGCCUACAAUCAAGAUGCCUGUCAGCAGUGCAUAGUAAGAUUGCACAUUCAUUUAAAGAGCAC